UCCUACGGGGGGCAGCAGUGAGGAAUAUUGGUCAAUGGGCUUACGCCUGAACCAGCCAAGUCGCGUGAGGGAAGACUGCCCUAUGGGUUGUAAACCUCUUUUGUCAGGGAGCAAUUGGCGCUACGUGUAGCGUUAUCGAGAGUACCUGAAGAAAAAGCAUCGGCUAACUCCGUGCCAGCAGCCGCGGUAAUACGGAGGAUGCGAGCGUUAUCCGGAUUUAUUGGGUUUAAAGGGUGCGUAGGCGGAAUGCCAAGUCAGCGGUAAAAUCGCGGGGCUCAACUUCGCUCCGCCGUUGAAACUGGCGU
RNAcentral lists this ribosomal RNA (305 nucleotides) under uncultured bacterium. Its description in RNAcentral is "bacterial SSU rRNA". It matches the Rfam family "Bacterial small subunit ribosomal RNA", at positions 337 to 639 of the family's 1533-position model. The record is from RNAcentral.